GGCUGACUCUCUUUUCGGACUCAGCCCGCCUGCACCCAGGUGAAAUAAACAGCCUUGUUGCUCACACAAACGUGCAUGAAAUUUGGUACUGUGACCCGGAUCAGAGUACCUCCCUUGGGAGAUGAAUCCCCUGUCCUCCUGCUCUUUGCUCCAUGAGAAAGAUCCACCUAGGACCUCGGGUCCUCAGACCGACCAGCCCAAGGAACAUCUCACCAAUUUCAAAUCUGAAACGCGCAUGAAACAAACAAACAAAAAAACUCUUUUGGUAGCAGAAUAAAAAAACAAAAAAAGGACUUGUUCUUUUGGACUGAACUGUAUUUAAAUCUCAAAGGAUGGACAUCUCACAACCUUCCUACAGCAAGUACUGUGAGAGCUGCAUCUUGUCCCACUGGAAGGUCUUCAGAGACAAUAACACAUAAUGGAGCCGUCAUCUCCUAUGAUAACAAUGCCUUCUUUUGGAUACCUCCUGAAGGACCUGCCUGAGGCUCUUUCACACCGUGUAAAGGUGUGCUGCUUUCCCUUUGCCUUCCGCCAUUAUUGAAAGUUUCCUGAGGCCUCCCCAGCCAUGCUACCUGUACAGCCUGUGAAACCAUAAGCCAAAAAAGAUACUAGCACCCAUCUGGCAGGGGCCUUUACUAGUUUCAAGCACACUGAGCAGACCUACACCUUGCCUUCUGAGAGAGAAGAGGACAGUCCUCAGCCUCCUGAAGCCUGGCAAGGGUGCCUUAGUGAGGACAUCACCUGCAACUCCCAGAUGGAUAAAUGAGGCCAUGGAGAGAGGAGAACACCAACCCAUGAGUGACAAGUGCCUGCCAUUGUCAAUGAUGCUGCAAGUACCAUGAUGCCCCUUCUUAGCAGGGACCCAGUGGGCCUUAGCAGCUUCGUUAUUUUCUAGGCAUGAUCGCAUCUGUCUCCCAUUUUUGCUAAAAUUCUAUCUAGAGAAAGAGCUCAUUUUUAGCUAAAAAAAAAAAAAUCCUGUUUUAUCUGCUAAAAAAUCACAUAAAAUAACUAUUGGACUGUUUGAAA
This 1026-nucleotide long non-coding RNA is filed under the name Pongo abelii (Sumatran orangutan). RNAcentral describes it as "lincRNA". Lineage: Eukaryota; Metazoa; Chordata; Mammalia; Primates; Hominidae. The record is from RNAcentral.